GGGGAUAACUACUGGAAACGGUGAGCUAAUGCCGCAUAACGUCGCAAGACGAAAGAGGGGGACCUUAGGGCCUCUUGCCAUCGGAUGUGCCCAGAUGGGAUUAGCUAGUAGGUGGGGUAACGGCUCACCUAGGCGACGAUCCCUAGCUGGUCUGAGAGGAUGACCAGCCACACUGGAACUGAGACACGGUCCAGACUCCUACGGGAGGCAGCAGUGGGGAAUAUUGCACAAUGGGCGCAAGCCUGAUGCAGCCAUGCCGCGUGUAUGAAGAAGGCCUUCGGGUUGUAAAGUACUUUCAGCGGGGAGGAAGGGAGUAAAGUUAAUACCUUUGCUCAUUGACGUUACCCGCAGAAGAAGCACCGGCUAACUCCGUGCCAGCAGCCGCGGUAAUACGGAGGGUGCAAGCGUUAAUCGGAAUUACUGGGCGUAAAGCGCACGCAGGCGGUUUGUUAAGUCAGAUGUGAAAUCCCCGGGCUCAACCUGGGAACUGCAUCUGAUACUGGCAAGCUUGAGUCUCGUAGAGGGGGGUAGAAUUCCAGGUGUAGCGGUGAAAUGCGUAGAGAUCUGGAGGAAUACCGGUGGCGAAGGCGGCCCCCUGGACGAAGACUGACGCUCAGGUGCGAAAGCGUGGGGAGCAAACAGGAUUAGA
Molecule: ribosomal RNA, 649 nt
Filed under: Escherichia coli
Lineage: Bacteria; Pseudomonadati; Pseudomonadota; Gammaproteobacteria; Enterobacterales; Enterobacteriaceae
Description: bacterial SSU rRNA
Rfam family: Bacterial small subunit ribosomal RNA
Source: RNAcentral